This 253-nucleotide ribosomal RNA is filed under the name uncultured bacterium. RNAcentral's name for it is "partial 16S ribosomal RNA". It matches the Rfam family "Bacterial small subunit ribosomal RNA", at positions 524 to 776 of the family's 1533-position model. The record is from RNAcentral.
UACGGGGGGAGCAAGCGUUGUUCGGAUUUACUGGGCGUAAAGAGCGCGCAGGCGGUCGUUCAAGUCGAGUGUGAAAGCCCCCGGCUCAACUGGGGAGGGUCACUCGAUACUGAUCGACUUGAAGGCAGGAGAGGGAAGCGGAAUUCCCGGUGUAGUGGUGAAAUGCGUAGAUAUCGGGAGGAACACCAGUGGCGAAGGCGGCUUCCUGGCCUGUUCUUGACGCUGAGGCGCGAAAGCUAGGGGAGCAAACGGG